AUUGAACGCUGGCGGCGUGCUUAACACAUGCAAGUCGAACGGCAGCACGGGUGCUUGCACCUGGUGGCGAGUGGCGAACGGGUGAGUAAUAUAUCGGAACGUACCUUAUUGUGGGGGAUAACGCAGCGAAAGCUGUGCUAAUACCGCAUAAUCCCUAAGGGGGAAAGCGGGGGACCGUAAGGCCUCGCGCAAUUAGAGCGGCCGAUACCUGAUUAGCUAGUUGGUGAGGUAAAGGCUCACCAAGGCAACGAUCAGUAGCUGGUCUGAGAGGACGAUCAGCCACACUGGGACUGAGACACGGCCCAGACUCCUACGGGAGGCAGCAGUGGGGAAUUUUGGACAAUGGGGGCAACCCUGAUCCAGCAAUGCCGCGUGAGUGAAGAAGGCCUUCGGGUUGUAAAGCUCUUUUGUCAGGGAAGAAACAGCAGCUCUAACACAGUAUGCGAAUGACGGUACCUGAAGAAUAAGCACCGGCUAACUACGUGCCAGCCGCCGCGGUAA
RNAcentral lists this ribosomal RNA (501 nucleotides) under uncultured bacterium. Its description in RNAcentral is "partial 16S ribosomal RNA". It matches the Rfam family "Bacterial small subunit ribosomal RNA", at positions 30 to 523 of the family's 1533-position model. The record is from RNAcentral.